This 1489-nucleotide ribosomal RNA is filed under the name Lactiplantibacillus plantarum. Its description in RNAcentral is "bacterial SSU rRNA". It matches the Rfam family "Bacterial small subunit ribosomal RNA". The record is from RNAcentral. Lineage: Bacteria; Bacillati; Bacillota; Bacilli; Lactobacillales; Lactobacillaceae.
GACGAACGCUGGCGGCGUGCCUAAUACAUGCAAGUCGAACGAACUCUGGUAUUGAUUGGUGCUUGCAUCAUGAUUUACAUUUGAGUGAGUGGCGAACUGGUGAGUAGCACGUGGGAAACCUGCCCAGAAGCGGGGGAUAACACCUGGAAACAGAUGCUAAUACCGCAUAACAACUUGGACCGCAUGGUCCGAGCUUGAAAGAUGGCUUCGGCUAUCACUUUUGGAUGGUCCCGCGGCGUAUUAGCUAGAUGGUGGGGUAAUGGCUCACCAUGGCAAUGAUACGUAGCCGACCUGAGAGGGUAAUCGGCCACAUUGGGACUGAGACACGGCCCAAACUCCUACGGGAGGCAGCAGUAGGGAAUCUUCCACAAUGGACGAAAGUCUGAUGGAGCAACGCCGCGUGAGUGAAGAAGGGUUUCGGCUCGUAAAACUCUGUUGUUAAAGAAGAACAUAUCUGAGAGUAACUGUUCAGGUAUUGACGGUAUUUAACCAGAAAGCCACGGCUAACUACGUGCCAGCAGCCGCGGUAAUACGUAGGUGGCAAGCGUUGUCCGGAUUUAUUGGGCGUAAAGCGAGCGCAGGCGGUUUUUUAAGUCUGAUGUGAAAGCCUUCGGCUCAACCGAAGAAGUGCAUCGGAAACUGGGAAACUUGAGUGCAGAAGAGGACAGUGGAACUCCAUGUGUAGCGGUGAAAUGCGUAGAUAUAUGGAAGAACACCAGUGGCGAAGGCGGCUGUCUGGUCUGUAACUGACGCUGAGGCUCGAAAGUAUGGGUAGCAAACAGGAUUAGAUACCCUGGUAGUCCAUACCGUAAACGAUGAAUGCUAAGUGUUGGAGGGUUUCCGCCCUUCAGUGCUGCAGCUAACGCAUUAAGCAUUCCGCCUGGGGAGUACGGCCGCAAGGCUGAAACUCAAAGGAAUUGACGGGGGCCCGCACAAGCGGUGGAGCAUGUGGUUUAAUUCGAAGCUACGCGAAGAACCUUACCAGGUCUUGACAUACUAUGCAAAUCUAAGAGAUUAGACGUUCCCUUCGGGGACAUGGAUACAGGUGGUGCAUGGUUGUCGUCAGCUCGUGUCGUGAGAUGUUGGGUUAAGUCCCGCAACGAGCGCAACCCUUAUUAUCAGUUGCCAGCAUUAAGUUGGGCACUCUGGUGAGACUGCCGGUGACAAACCGGAGGAAGGUGGGGAUGACGUCAAAUCAUCAUGCCCCUUAUGACCUGGGCUACACACGUGCUACAAUGGAUGGUACAACGAGUUGCGAACUCGCGAGAGUAAGCUAAUCUCUUAAAGCCAUUCUCAGUUCGGAUUGUAGGCUGCAACUCGCCUACAUGAAGUCGGAAUCGCUAGUAAUCGCGGAUCAGCAUGCCGCGGUGAAUACGUUCCCGGGCCUUGUACACACCGCCCGUCACACCAUGAGAGUUUGUAACACCCAAAGUCGGUGGGGUAACCUUUUAGGAACCAGCCGCCUAAGGUGGGACAGAUGAUUAGGGUG